Molecule: long non-coding RNA, 553 nt
Organism: Lutzomyia longipalpis
Lineage: Eukaryota; Metazoa; Arthropoda; Insecta; Diptera; Psychodidae
Exons: 3
Source: RefSeq, a predicted model, not a curated record
UUUAGUGAAGAAAGUAGAAGUUGUCGCGUGCUCUCCAUUUAUUUGUGAAAUUUACCGAUUAAUAUUGAAUGGAAAAUUAGGCGAAGAAGAAGUAAACGCCCAGAAAAGUUGAUGAAGAGAGACACGGACAAUAGUGAGGGGAAUUAGAAGAUUUAUUGAGAAGAGAAAGGCAGGCAAGCCCAAUUUAGGAGAAAUAUUAUCUCGAGUAAGUGAUUGAAUAGGAGAUUUGAAUUAGUGAGAAUUAAGAUAAUGUUUUGUUUCAGACCAAAAUUAUUUGCUACGGCUUGACUGCCUGGAGUUGCGCAUUACCACCAAAAAUUUAUGAAUAAAAUUCUUGUUCAGAAUUGAACAAGUAUACUUUUUUAAAAAUUCGGGGGAGUGAAAACACGGGAGCCGAAAUUAUUGAAAUUCAUCGCUUUUUUAUUUAUGCAACGUUUCGGAGACUUUCUUCUCCUUUCUCAGGCAUUAAUAAUUUGGGAGUCUUUCGGUUGAUUUCUUGGUCACUCUGCAUCCACUGGACAACACAUACGGUUCUCAUCACCAAGAAAUUCAC